Oncorhynchus gorbuscha (pink salmon) is the source of this 1136-nucleotide long non-coding RNA. RefSeq lists it as uncharacterized. The record is from RefSeq and is a predicted model, not a curated record. The transcript has 5 exons. Lineage: Eukaryota; Metazoa; Chordata; Actinopteri; Salmoniformes; Salmonidae.
AAAGGGAGCUAGAAAAGAUAAGAGAAGUGUGAAAAGCUUGGAAUCUAUGAAAACUCAAAACAUAAAGAAAAAAAUAACUUCACAAAUAAAAUAAGAUUAUCUCAAUGUUAGUUGUUUUACCAUUGAUGUCCGCUGAGGUUUUUCGUAGAACACAGCGAGCGUUUUUUUGUGUUCCCUCCCGAGUUUCCGUUAGCUCAGGAAGUGUCAUAGUUCAGGUCAAUGUUCAGUGCAAAACACCUCAGUGGGAAUAUGUGUUAAAACAGCGCACAACAUGAGGCGUGACAUGCGGAACGUCGGGCUCACCCUACGAAAAGCAGUGUAUGAUCAACACCACCCCCAGCCAGGAGAUCUGCUAGUAGUGAUGGCUCUCCCAUUCUUAGAUACCCGAAAAACCACACAAGGGUUAAGCAUUCCAGAUGAUUUUCAAAGGCUGUGUCCUAACCAACUCUACUUACUUAUUUGGAGUUCAAUGGAAACAUUGAAGUUCCAGGCACGUGGGAUGAUGCCAGAUGCUGGAAUAGCAGCAAUGCCACGUACAGGCAGGGAUGACUGGGACCUUCAGUGGGUAAGAUGUGGGUGCCAAAUUUGGGAACAUGUGGUCCUUGAAAAACGCCUCAUCUCCAGCAAUAUGAGUCUGCCAGAGGUUAUCACGCUGGAUGGGGAUGGUGAUGGAGGCUUUGGUGGUCCACACAAUGAAGAAGCAUCAAUGAAAUGUCUAUCUCAGUAAAAUCUUUGAAACUGUUGCAUAUACAUUUUUGCUCAGUAUAUCUUUACAAUAAAAAAAUAAGGUGACCACCGAAAGCCAGAUGGAGACGUGUUAAUUAGAAGCGCACUCGGUCCUUAUAUUACCGUAGCAUAGGCUUUGAGCGAAUGUCGGCCUACCUGUCACAAGAAAAAAAGUUACCAUUAUGAGAUGAUAGGUCUACAUGCAUUGUGAACUGCGCUCCAUGCUGAGAUGGGCUGUAUGUACACACCCUGAGUAUUGAUGAUUGGUUAGGCAGAGAGAAGGCCAUAGACAAGCCAGAUUUAGACAUUGCAUAUCAUUUUACAGUUCCAUUUCACUUCAUGCACUUCCUAUAAAUAAUUUAUUAUAAUUUACCGGUUUCUCGCUGUUAUUUUUCACGGAAGAAAGGAGG